GUCCCUGUAGCGCAAUGGAUAGCACGUUGGACUUCUAAUCCAAAGGUCGUGGGUUCGAAUCCUACCUGGGAUG
Trichonephila inaurata madagascariensis is the source of this 73-nucleotide non-coding RNA. The record is from the annotation of a GenBank genome assembly. Lineage: Eukaryota; Metazoa; Arthropoda; Arachnida; Araneae; Nephilidae.